Molecule: unclassified non-coding RNA, 336 nt
Filed under: soil metagenome
Description: partial contains 5.8S ribosomal RNA, internal transcribed spacer 2, and large subunit ribosomal RNA
Rfam family: 5.8S ribosomal RNA (bases 1-120)
Source: RNAcentral
GAUGAAGAACGUAGCGAAAUGCGAUAAGUAAUGUGAAUUGCAGAAUUCCGUGAAUCAUCGAAUCUUUGAACGCACAUUGCGCCCCCUGGUAUUCCGGGGGGCAUGCCUGUCCGAGCGUCAUUGCAACUUUCAAGCGCGGCUUGUGUGUUGGGUCUCGUCCCCCGUGGACGGGCCCGAAAGGCAGUGGCGGCGUCCCGACAUGGUGCCCGAGCGUAUGGGAAUCCUCUUCCGCUCGAAUCGGCCCAUGCGGCGCUGGUCGUAACCAAAUUUUUUACCGGUUGACCUCGGAUCAGGUAGGGAUACCCGCUGAACUUAAGCAUAUCAAUAAGCGGAGGA